This 440-nucleotide ribosomal RNA is filed under the name uncultured bacterium. Its description in RNAcentral is "partial 16S ribosomal RNA". It matches the Rfam family "Bacterial small subunit ribosomal RNA", at positions 338 to 794 of the family's 1533-position model. The record is from RNAcentral.
CCUACGGGAGGCAGCAGUGAGGGAUAUUGCGCAAUGGGCGAAAGCCUGACGCAGCGACGCCGCGUGGGCGAGGAAGGCCUUCGGGUUGUAAAGCCCUUUUGGCAGGGAAGAAUCAUGACGGUACCUGGUGAAUAAGCCUCGGCCAACUACGUGCCAGCAGCCGCGGUAAUACGUAGGAGGCGAGCGUUAUCCGGAUUUACUGGGCGUAAAGAGGGCGCGGGUGGCCUUCUAAGUCCGGGGUGAAAUCUCCCGGCCUAACCGGGAGGGGCCCCCGGAUACUGGAGGGCUUGAGGGCAGCAGAGGGAGGUGGAAUUCCCGGUGUAGGGGUGAAAUGCGUAGAUAUCGGGAGGAACACCAGUGGCGAGGGCGGCCUCCGGGGCUGUCCCUGACACUGAGGCCCGAAGGCGUGGGGAGCAAACCGGAUUAGAUCCCCCUGUAGU